AAAAGAAAAAAAAAAGAAAAAACUGAACUGUGCUUAAUUUGAGAUGUAUCAUGUAUGUGCCUAACACAGUAACACUUGUUCCCAAGUCCAAACUAUAGUGGAAUAUAAACUAUCAGUUGUAGUAAGAUUUAAAAACACUUGUAAACUACGUCAUACUGUAAUUGAGUGGCUGAAAAGCAUUGGUGUAUAUAUGGAUUAUUUGUGGAUGAAUGAUUAAACUUCUGCUGAUUUUUCUGCUUGUCUUGGGGUGAUUAUAGUAAUUUUAUUAGUGUUUGUUAAUGACAUGCUCGCUACUUGAUGUCUAACAAAAACUAUCUGAGAAAGUGGUGUGCAAUACUUCAAAUUUGAGGUUUCAUAUUUUAUUGGUUAAGACAUACAGUUUUAGACGUUCAUUUUUUUUCCUCAAAAGCAUUUUACAAA
RNAcentral lists this unclassified non-coding RNA (420 nucleotides) under Hevea brasiliensis (rubber tree). Lineage: Eukaryota; Viridiplantae; Streptophyta; Magnoliopsida; Malpighiales; Euphorbiaceae. The record is from RNAcentral.